This 425-nucleotide ribosomal RNA is filed under the name uncultured bacterium. RNAcentral describes it as "partial 16S ribosomal RNA". It matches the Rfam family "Bacterial small subunit ribosomal RNA", at positions 354 to 796 of the family's 1533-position model. The record is from RNAcentral.
GUGGGGAAUCUUGCGCAAUGGGCGAAAGCCUGACGCAGCCAUGCCGCGUGAAUGAUGAAGGUCUUAGGAUUGUAAAAUUCUUUCACCGGGGACGAUAAUGACGGUACCCGGAGAAGAAGCUCCGGCUAACUUCGUGCCAGCAGCCGCGGUAAUACGAAGGGGGCUAGCGUUGCUCGGAAUUACUGGGCGUAAAGGGCGCGUAGGCGGACAGCUUAGUCAGAGGUGAAAGCCCAGGGCUCAACCUUGGAAUUGCCUUUGAUACUGGCUGUCUUGAGUUUGGGAGAGGUGGGUGGAACUCCGAGUGUAGAGGUGAAAUUCGUAGAUAUUCGGAAGAACACCAGUGGCGAAGGCGACUCACUGGCCCGUUACUGACGCUGAGGCGCGAAAGCGUGGGGAGCAAACAGGAUUAGAUACCCCUGUAGUCC